This is a long non-coding RNA of Nematostella vectensis (starlet sea anemone), 523 nucleotides long. RefSeq lists it as uncharacterized. NCBI's taxonomy places the organism in Eukaryota, Metazoa, Cnidaria, Anthozoa, Actiniaria, Edwardsiidae. The record is from RefSeq and is a predicted model, not a curated record. The transcript is spliced from 4 exons.
AAAGGGUAUCAAAAUAUUUGACACAUUUCAUAUCCAUGUAAGAACUGAUACUAAAUAUACAUCUGUUUGUUUGGCAGGAGGCAUUUGUUUCACAAAUUGCAGAGCAAACGAAGAGCAAUGCCGCAAAAGAUGCCCUACUCGCGGAGCUUAAGAGGCAAAUUGGGCAGACAAAGACUCGUCCACACUGCACCGCCGAGAGCCAGACUUGCUCUCCAUCUACAAAAAGCAUAGGGAGUGAAUGCACUACUGAAUGCGCCGAGGCUGAUGUCCAGGCCACUAGUGAAGUGACAGUGGUGUCAGUUGAGACACAAACGGAUGCAGCGCCAAAGAGGCACCAAAACCGUGCAGUGCGUGCCUGGCAGAGUUUCUGUGGCCAGGUACGCAACCUGCACAACCGCCUCAUCCAUGGAACAGAGGCAUUCUAAACCCUACAGGAAAUAUAGUAGCCUCCAUAGGAUGUACUGCUUUUCAGGGUGCUAGCUUAUUAUCUGAUUUAUAAAUUUGAACAGCUGUUAUCUGUAAU